This 293-nucleotide ribosomal RNA is filed under the name uncultured bacterium. Its description in RNAcentral is "partial 16S ribosomal RNA". It matches the Rfam family "Bacterial small subunit ribosomal RNA", at positions 505 to 796 of the family's 1533-position model. The record is from RNAcentral.
GUGUCAGCCGCCGCGGUAAUACGAAGGUGGCGAGCGUUGUUCGGAAUCACUGGGCUUAAAGAGCACGUAGGCGGCCCAUCAAGUACUUUGUGAAAUCCCAUGGCUCAACCAUGGAAUUGCUUGGUAUACUGUUCGGGCUUGAGGCAGGUAUGGGCGUGUGGAACUCUUGGUGGAGCGGUGGAAUGCGUAGAUAUCAAGAGGAACGCCGGAGGCGAAAGCGAUACGCUGGGCCUGUCCUGACGCUGAGGUGCGAAAGCCAGGGGAGCAAACGGGAUUAGAAACCCGGGUAGUCC